AAAAAAGAAGUGGAGGCGCGCUUUGCUAAACGAACAAGUCACGAAACGUUUCAGUAGAACAAACUGUUUUUUACUUGGCAAAAUGUUCGAACCAACAACUAGUUUGUGUGCCCCUGAUUCGGGGGAUCAAUAUCAGUUCCCGUUCGAUCCACCUUACGACAUUCAGCUGGAUUUGAUGCGCACAUUGUACCAAGUGGUGCAGUCCCGUCAAAUCGGUAUUUUCGAAAGUCCCACCGGAACCGGUAAGAGUCUUACACUGACCUGCGGUGUACUGAGCUGGCUACGGGAUCACGAAGCUGCAGUGGAACAGGAUCUGAUUGAAGGUAUUUCAAAACUAAAGACAGAUAUAGCCCGACAGGAGCUGGAAAAUUCUGGCGCGGUAGAUUGGAUUUCCGGUCAAUUUGCAACGAUCGGUGUAAAGAAUCAGUUGAGUGAGAUAAGAGGGGUCAAGGAGCUUAGAGAUGAAUACUACAAAAGACUAACGGAGUUGAAGAAGAAAUCUACCGAAGUUAAAAGAAAAAAAGAUUCUACUCGCUGGUUGAAACAAGUUUCAAAACAACAGCAAUUGGAGACGGACUCCGGCGAAAAUCAGAAAGCAACAGGUAAUGACGGUUACCUGGUAGAGGAUUCGGACGAUGAUGACUGUGACGAGGUUGAAGCCGAUGCGGAGAGCUCAAAAUUCAAGCCUGUUCAAGUGAUUUUCUGCUCCAGAACUCAUUCUCAGCUGGGCCAAGUUAUUCGCGAGAUUCGCCGGACGGACUUCGGGAAACAGAUUAGAUUGACAAUUUUGGCUUCAAGGCAAAACAUGUGCAUCAACCCGGAGGUUCGAAAGUUGAACUCGAAUGCUCUAAUCAAUGAGAGGUGUUUGGAACUGCAGAAAAAAUGCACUAAAACGACGUCGGUGGACAGUGAUGAAAACACUCGAAAGAAACGGAAGUUGAAUGAUAAAUGUCCCUACUACAAUCGUCAGAUGAUUGAUGAUUUGAAGAACGAUACCCUCUUUGAAGUUCAAGACAUCGAAGAGCUUGUGUCUGUCGCUCAGCAGGAAAAGGCCUGCCCGUAUUACGCUUCUCGAGCAGCUGUUUCCGACUCUCAGCUGAUUAUGAUGCCAUAUCAGAAUUUACUUCAUCGUAAAACUCGGGAACAAACCGGAAUAGAUAUUAAGAAUGCUGUGAUAAUUAUAGACGAGGCACACAAUCUGCUAGAUACUAUUUCUAACAUUCACAGCCAGGAAGUAACGCUGGACCACCUUCAGCAAGUUCGGCUGCAUAUCAAUGCAUACAAAACGCAGUAUUUCCCUCGUUUCUCCACUAAAAAUCUUCUAAAGAUUAAUCAACUAUUAUUCAUUGUCACUCGUCUCUGCAAGUUGCUAGAGGUUCCACCGGAAAGUCACACCGGUUCACGAAUGAUCCAUUCCUACGAAUUGAUGACAGAGGGUGAGUUCUUCAACCUUAAUUUGUUGGAAAUUUUGCAAUUUGCCGAGAAAACCCGGAUUGCUCAGAAAAUUCAUGGUUUUGCCCAGAGUAUUCCAUCACCGUUGUUGCUGCAAAAUCCGGUGAAAAGUCAUCCCAAGGAGUCGAAGGGAACGAGUGCUUUGAAGGAGUACCUUAAACGAUUGGGAAACGGAGAUAACAAAAAAUCCGCUGCAAACCAGCAGUCGGUGGUUGACGAAGUGACACCGUCGGUUGAGGUGCGUAAACCAGUGGCCAACGCGAUUCGACCUUUGCUGGCUUUCCUGGAGUGCUUGGUGGAGACUUUUGACGAUGGACGUGUGUUGUUGUCCUACGAUAGGAAGGAUUGUCAGCGCUCCAGCAUGAAAUACCUGCUACUUAAUCCAGGUGCCAGGUUCGAGGAAAUUUUGACUAGUUGUCGCUCGCUCAUUCUGGCGGGUGGAACUAUGCACCCAGUGGAGGAGCUUACCGAACAGUUGUUUAAAGAUUGUCCCGAGAGGGUUCAACUGCGAAGUUACCGCCACGUAGUGCCCGCGGAUGCUAUUCUUCCGUUGGCUUUUUCGAAAGGACCCUCUGGAAAAGAAUUGUUGUUCAAUUAUAAUAAUCGUCAGUCUAAAGAUUUGUUAAAUGAGCUGACCUCUACUUUGAUCAACAUCUGCCAGGUUGUACCAAAUGGAGUCGUUUGCUUUUUUAGCUCCUACGAUUAUCUGGAGCAGUUUUAUUCGAACCUCCAAGAAAGCAGUAAACUUGCACGCUUGGAAGAACGAAAGCGCGUUUUUCGGGAACCACGAGGCAGUGGAAACAUUGACAAGGUUUUGGUCGAGUAUUCGCACGCUGCCCGGAUUAGUUGUGGGAAACAAACCGGCGCCCUGAUGCUGAGUGUUGUAGGUGGCAAACUAAGCGAAGGAUUGAACUUCUCAGACGAACUGGGACGGUGUGUGGUGGUGGUCGGUUUGCCUUACCCAAAUCGAACCAGCCCGGAACUGGUGGAGAGGAUGCGCUAUCUGGAUCGAACGCUGAAACCAUCGGCUGGCAGUGAGUACUACGAGAAUCUGUGUAUGAAAGCCGUUAACCAGUGCAUUGGGCGUGCGGUGAGACACAUUCGGGAUUAUGCCAGCGUCGUGCUCCUCGAUACCAGGUAUUGCAGUAGUGAGAAGAUUCGGAAUAAACUGCCGCUAUGGAUAUCCGAGAACUUGCAGUGCUUUGAGCGGUACGGCCAAGCCCACGGUAGUUUGGUGAAGUUUUUCAAGGGAAAAUCUUCUGAGAAAUGAUGUGCAAUCCUGUUAUUUGAGUUAACGAUAAAGGCGAACAUAUUUGAACCUAUUCGAAUACAAGUGAAGCUGUAAUACCUAACACAUAAAAACCGUGAAGUAACGAAGGAUUUAUUUUGUGAAGAAGCUGUGAAUUUCAUUUGAAUAGAAAACUACUAGCAGAGCUACUACACUGGUAAAUAACCAAAAAAGUAUGAAAACUGUUACUUAU
Molecule: RNA transcript, 2933 nt
Organism: Wyeomyia smithii (pitcher-plant mosquito)
Lineage: Eukaryota; Metazoa; Arthropoda; Insecta; Diptera; Culicidae
Gene name: ATP-dependent DNA helicase DDX11
Exons: 6
Source: RefSeq, a predicted model, not a curated record